RNAcentral lists this unclassified non-coding RNA (331 nucleotides) under soil metagenome. Its description in RNAcentral is "partial contains 5.8S ribosomal RNA, internal transcribed spacer 2, and large subunit ribosomal RNA". The stretch from base 1 to 120 matches the Rfam family "5.8S ribosomal RNA", at positions 35 to 154 of the family's 154-position model. The record is from RNAcentral.
GAUGAAGAACGUAGCGAAAUGCGAUACGUAAUGUGAAUUGCAGAUUUCAGUGAAUCAUCGAAUCUUUGAACGCACAUUGCGCCCGCUAGUAUUCUGGCGGGCAUGCCUGUUCGAGCGUCAUUUCAACCAUCAAGCCCUAGGCUUGCGUUGGAGCCCUGCGGCUGCCGCAGGCUCCCAAAUCCAGUGGCGGGCUCGUCGUCGUACCGAGUGCAGUAAACAUCCUCGCUCAGGGAACGUGACGGGUUCUUGCCGUGAAACCCCCCACAUAUCAAGGUUGACCUCGGAUCAGGUAGGAAUACCCGCUGAACUUAAGCAUAUCAAUAGCGGAGGA